Molecule: ribosomal RNA, 522 nt
Filed under: uncultured Glomeraceae
Lineage: Eukaryota; Fungi; Glomeromycota; Glomeromycetes; Glomerales; Glomeraceae
Description: SSU rRNA
Rfam family: Eukaryotic small subunit ribosomal RNA
Source: RNAcentral
AGCAGCCGCGGUAAUUCCAGCUCCAAUAGCGUAUAUUAAAGUUGUUGCAGUUAAAAAGCUCGUAGUUGAAUUUCGGGGUCAGUAGGCUGGUCAUGCCACAGGUAUGUACUGGUCUCACUGAUUCCUCCUUCCUGAUGAACCGUAAUGCCAUUAAUUUGGUGUUGCGGGGAAACUGGACUGUUACUUUGAAAAAAUUAGAGUGUUUAAAGCAGGCUAACGCUUGAAUACAUUAGCAUGGAAUAAUGAAAUAGGACGUUCGAUCCUAUUUUGUUGGUUUCUAGGAUUGACGUAAUGAUUAAUAGGGAUAGUUGGGGGCAUUAGUAUUCAAUUGUCAGAGGUGAAAUUCUUGGAUUUAUUGAAGACUAACUACUGCGAAAGCAUUUGCCAAGGAUGUUUUCAUUAAUCAAGAACGAAAGUUAGGGGAUCGAAGACGAUCAGAUACCGUCGUAGUCUUAACCAUAAACUAUGCCGACUAGGGAUCGGAUGAUGUUAAUUUUUUAAUGACUCAUUCGGCGCCUUACG